UACGGAGGAUGCGAGCGUUAUCCGGAUUUAUUGGGUUUAAAGGGUGCGUAGGUGGAGAAUUAAGUCUGUGGUGAAAGCGUGCGGCUCAACCGUACCAAGCCAUGGAAACUGGUUCCCUUGAGUGCAAACGAGGUAGGCGGAAUGUGACGUGUAGCGGUGAAAUGCUUAGAUAUGUCACAGAACCCCGAUUGCGAAGGCAGCUUACCAGCAUGCAACUGACACUGAGGCACGAAAGCGUGGGUAUC
RNAcentral lists this ribosomal RNA (245 nucleotides) under uncultured Bacteroidota bacterium. RNAcentral describes it as "uncultured Bacteroidetes bacterium partial 16S ribosomal RNA". It matches the Rfam family "Bacterial small subunit ribosomal RNA", at positions 524 to 769 of the family's 1533-position model. The record is from RNAcentral. Lineage: Bacteria; Pseudomonadati; Bacteroidota.